GAGGCUGUUAUUCGUUGCCAGUGAUUGUUAACCAUGUUUUUGUUUUAUAACGUAAAUACUUGUUUUUCCGUACCUAUUGGGAGAAUGUAGGAAUUUCGGACGCGGGUUCAACUCCCGCCAGCUCCACCA
RNAcentral lists this transfer RNA (129 nucleotides) under Escherichia coli. RNAcentral's name for it is "tRNA-OTHER". The record is from RNAcentral. Lineage: Bacteria; Pseudomonadati; Pseudomonadota; Gammaproteobacteria; Enterobacterales; Enterobacteriaceae.